CCUAGGGCCAUUGGUGCCACCUACAAGAAGGUUCCAGGCCAGGGUUUCCCUGGGGGAAGGUGGCCUCAGGGGACGUGGCCACCACCUGGACAUCUCUGAGGGAUUUUGUGGGGCAGAAGUGGCGAGUAGUCAGUGUGGUCCGAGGUCAGCACCAGCCCUGGGGCCCCUGGCACAGUUGAACUGGAAUCAGCAUAGUCUGCUCAGGGCAGGUGGGUGGGUUGCCAGGGCACAGGGCAGCCCCAGAGCCCAGCUCACCUGGUGCCGCCUGGGGAAGGCACCAGCCCCAGGUCUCAUUAAUUCUCGAGUGAGGCCAGACCACUGUGGUAUUUCCCCCUGCCUGAGCCCC
Molecule: long non-coding RNA, 346 nt
Filed under: Homo sapiens (human)
Lineage: Eukaryota; Metazoa; Chordata; Mammalia; Primates; Hominidae
Description: HSALNT0053094
Source: RNAcentral